GGCGAGUUUACCUGGUGAUAUCCUCAUGCGCGACGCGAUCGCGAAAACAGCAAACAAUUAACACCACGCCGAUGUUGUCCACAGGACAGCAAGAGUAAACGAUCGGGAGACUGUUGUCGUCGUUAUCGUUCCCCUCGCACGGUUUAUUUCACCGAAUUCAGCGUUUUUGCUCCACAACUAAAGCGAGCAGUUUACUUUGUGCACUAACAUGGAGUCGAGUCAACCAGCGCCACCUCUGGCCAAGUGCCACAGCCUACAGCCAGAUCAACCUGUGACACACAUCUGCAGCACGUUUGAUUUCGUUUCUUGCACAACACAUUUGUACCUUUCAAUUGUGUCUGUUUGUGCGUCAUGCAAAUGAACCUUUGAAAUGAAUGAAAUGAUAUCAUAUAUUCCUUAUUGGCCUACAUUUGUACAAAAUUCCAAAUUAUAUACACAAAGUCAUAGAAAUCACCACUCCAAUUGGUCAUCAUGAUUUUGAUAUUCUCUUUUCCCAUAACAAUGAAAUACGCCUUGGACAAAUAUGACACAUCAAUAUUUCAUUAGUGUCGUCACAUCACAUCCUGUAAGCAUCAUCUGCCUGUGUCCUUUCCCUGGAAAUUAAUAUUUCCAGCCAAUAUAGGCAAUCCAUCAACAUGGCUGGAGAGUUGGUAGUUAUAUAUAAAGUCAGUGACUCAGGUGUGUCGCUUGGUUUGUCAUCUGUUUGUGAGACUGGAGGAGACGCAAUCUUGUGUUUUAAAUCUUAGUUAGGAAGAUUCCUGUUUUAAAACAAGCACGUAUUGUGAGAAAUGCAAGAAGUACAUCUGCAGAAAGCACACAGUUACAUUCUGUCCAUCAUGUGGACAAAAUUGAAAAUGUUGAGCAUUGAAAAACUGAGAACGUUGGGCAAGUUCAAAAGAAAUGUGUUUGUAAGAACGAAAAACCAAAUUGUUCCUAAAAUAGUUAUGGAAAGUCUAACUGUUGUAUGUCUGUGUUCUACAUGUUUAUCUGAUGGGAAAUAAAGUUGC
Molecule: long non-coding RNA, 1007 nt
Organism: Astatotilapia calliptera (eastern happy)
Lineage: Eukaryota; Metazoa; Chordata; Actinopteri; Cichliformes; Cichlidae
Source: Ensembl